UUGACCUACGGGGGGCAGCAGUGGGGGAUAUUGCACAAUGGGGGGAACCCUGAUGCAGCGACGCCGCGUGGGUGAAGGAGCGUUUCGGCGCGUAAAGCCCUAUCGGCAGGGAAGAAGGAGGACGGUACCUGACUAAGAAGCCCCGGCUAACUACGUGCCAGCAGCCGCGGUAAUACGGAGGAUGCGAGCGUUAUCCGGAUUUAUUGGGUUUAAAGGGUGCGCAGGCGGGCUGUUAAGCCGGCGGUAAAAAUUCAGGGCUCAACCCUGUCGCGCCGUCGGGAUUG
Molecule: ribosomal RNA, 284 nt
Filed under: uncultured bacterium
Lineage: Bacteria
Description: partial 16S ribosomal RNA
Rfam family: Bacterial small subunit ribosomal RNA
Source: RNAcentral